Molecule: unclassified non-coding RNA, 406 nt
Filed under: soil metagenome
Description: partial contains 5.8S ribosomal RNA, internal transcribed spacer 2, and large subunit ribosomal RNA
Rfam family: 5.8S ribosomal RNA (bases 1-121)
Source: RNAcentral
GAUGAAGAACGUAGCGAAAUGCGAUAAGUAAUGUGAAUUGCAGAAUUCAGUGAAUCAUCGAAUCUUUGAACGCACCUUGCGCCCUUUGGCCGUUCCGAAGGGCAUGCCUGUUUGAGUAUCAUGAACACCUCAACUCUUCAUGGUUUUCCGUGAUGAGCUUGGACUUUGGGGGUCUUGCUGGCCUAUGGUCAGCUCCUCUAAAAUAAAUCAGCUUGCCAGUGUUUGGUGGGUAUCACAGGUGUGAUAACUAUCUACGCUUGUGGUUUUCCACCAGGUAACCUUCAGCAGUGGAGGUUCGCUGGAGCUCACAGAUGUGUCUCUCCUCAGUGAGGACAGCUCUUUGAAUGUUUGAUCUCAAAUCAGGUAGGACUACCCGCUGAACUUAAGCAUAUCAAUAAGCGGAGGA